This 187-nucleotide ribosomal RNA is filed under the name Planomicrobium stackebrandtii. Its description in RNAcentral is "partial 16S ribosomal RNA". It matches the Rfam family "Bacterial small subunit ribosomal RNA", at positions 1 to 184 of the family's 1533-position model. The record is from RNAcentral. Lineage: Bacteria; Bacillati; Bacillota; Bacilli; Caryophanales; Caryophanaceae.
AUAAUGGAGAGUUUGAUCCUGGCUCAGGACGAACGCUGGCGGCGUGCCUAAUACAUGCAAGUCGAGCGGAACCUUUGGAGCUUGCUCCAAAAGUUUAGCGGCGGACGGGUGAGUAACACGUGGGCAACCUGCCCUGCAGAUCGGGAUAACUCCGGGAAACCGGUGCUAAUACCGAAUAGUUUGUUUC